UACGUAGGGUGCAAGCGUUAAUCGGAAUUACUGGGCGUAAAGCGUGCGCAGGCGGCUUUGCAAGACAGAUGUGAAAUCCCCGGGCUUAACCUGGGAACUGCAUUUGUGACUGGCAGGCUAGAGUAUGGCAGAGGGGGGGUAGAAUUCCACGUGUAGCAGUGAAAUGCGUAGAGAUGUGGAGGAAUACCGAUGGCGAAGGCAGCCCCCUGGGCCAAUACUGACGCUCAUGCACGAAAGCGUGGGGAGCAAACAGG
This 254-nucleotide ribosomal RNA is filed under the name uncultured bacterium. RNAcentral's name for it is "partial 16S ribosomal RNA". It matches the Rfam family "Bacterial small subunit ribosomal RNA", at positions 524 to 776 of the family's 1533-position model. The record is from RNAcentral.